CCUACGGGAGGCAGCAGUGGGGAAUUUUCCGCAAUGGGCGAAAGCCUGACGGAGCAAUACCGCGUGAGGGAAGAAAGCCUACUGGGUUGUAAACCUCUUUUUUCAGGGAGGAAAAAAUGACGUGUACCUGAAGAAUAAGCAUCGGCUAACUCCGUGCCAGCAGCCGCGGUAAGACGGAGGAUGCAAGUGUUAUCCGGAAUUACUGGGCGUAAAGCGUCUGUAGGUGGUUUAAUAAGUCAACUGUUAAAUCUUGAGGCUUAACUUCAAAACAGCAGUCGAAACUAUUAGACUAGAGUAUAGUAGGGGUAAAGGGAAUUUCCAGUGGAGCGGUGAAAUGCGUAGAUAUUGGAAAGAACACCGAUGGCGAAAGCACUUUACUGGGCUAUUACUAACACUCAGAGACGAAAGCUAGGGUAGCAAAUGGGAUUAGAUACCCCAGUAGUCCUAGCUGUAAACAAUGGAUACUAGAUGUUGAACAGAUCGACCUGUGCAGUAUUAAAGCUAACGCGUUAAGUAUCCCGCCUGGGAAGUAUGCUCGCAAGAGUGAAAACUCAAAAGGAAAUUUGACGGCUGAAGAGUGUUCGAGACGACACAGGAGAGG
This 601-nucleotide ribosomal RNA is filed under the name uncultured bacterium. RNAcentral describes it as "bacterial SSU rRNA". It matches the Rfam family "Bacterial small subunit ribosomal RNA", at positions 338 to 1413 of the family's 1533-position model. The record is from RNAcentral.